UACGUAGGGGGCGAGCGUUGUCCGGAAUUAUUGGGCGUAAAGGGUUCGUAGGCGGUUUUUUAAGUCAGAUGUGAAAGGUCACGGCUCAACCGUGGUAAGCAUUUGAAACUGAAAGACUUGAGUUAAGGAGAGGAAAGUGGAAUUCCUAGUGUAGCGGUGAAAUGCGUAGAUAUUAGGAGGAAUACCAGUGGCGAAGGCGACUUUCUGGACUUAUACUGACGCUGAGGAACGAAAGCGUGGGGAGCAAACAGG
RNAcentral lists this ribosomal RNA (252 nucleotides) under uncultured bacterium. RNAcentral describes it as "partial 16S ribosomal RNA". It matches the Rfam family "Bacterial small subunit ribosomal RNA", at positions 524 to 776 of the family's 1533-position model. The record is from RNAcentral.